GAAAACCACGGUGGUACAGGAUGGGCCCGCGUCUGAUUAGUUAGUUGGCAGGGUAACGGCCUACCAAGACAACGAUCAGUAGCCGGCUUGAGAGAGUGGACGGCCACAUUGGGACUGAGACACGGCCCAGACUCCUGCGGGAGGCAGCAGUGGGGAAUAUUGCACAAUGGGGGGAACCCUGAUGCAGCAAUGCCGCGUGGGUGAAGAAGCACUCCGGUGUGUAAAGCCCUGUCAGCAGGGAAGAAAAUGACAGUACCUGGACAAGAAGCCCCGGCUAACUACGUGCCAGCAGCCGCGGUAAUACGUAGGGGGCAAGCGUUAUCCGGAUUUACUGGGUGUAAAGGGAGCGCAGGCGGCGUGGCAAGUCAGAUGUGAAAACCCGGGGCCCAACCCCGGGAGUGCAUUUGAAACUGCCAUGCUGGAGUGCCGGAGAGGUAAGCGGAAUUCCUAGUGUAGCGGUGAAAUGCGUAGAUAUUAGGAGGAACACCAGUGGCGGAGGCGGCUUACUGGACGGUAACUGACGCUGAGGCUCGAAAGCGUGGGGAGCAAACAGGAUUAGAUACCCUGGUAGUCCACGCCGUAAA
Molecule: ribosomal RNA, 584 nt
Filed under: uncultured bacterium
Lineage: Bacteria
Description: bacterial SSU rRNA
Rfam family: Bacterial small subunit ribosomal RNA
Source: RNAcentral